GAUGAACGCUGGCGGCGUGCUUAACACAUGCAAGUCGAACGGAAAGGCACUGCUUUUGUGGGGUGCUCGAGUGGGGAACGGGUGAGUAACACGUGAGUAACCUGCCCUUGUCUUUGGGAUAACAUCAGGAAACUGGGGCUAAUACAGGAUAGGAGAUCCUGCACCGUGGUGGGGGUUGGAAAGUUUCGGCGGUGGGGGAUGGACUAGCGGGUUACGAGCUUGUUGGUGGGGUAGGGGCUGCCCAAGGCUUUGACGGGUAGGCGGCCUGGGAGGGUGACCGGCCACAUUGGGACUGCGGUACGGCCCAGUCUCCUACGUGAGGCAGCGGUGGGGAACCUUGCACAACGGGCCCGAGUCUGAUGCGGCAGCGCCGCGUGCGUGAUGACGUCCUUUUGGUUGUAAACCGCUUUCGCCUGUGACGAAGCGUGAGUGACGGUACUGGGUAAAGAAGCACCGGCUAACUACGUG
This 468-nucleotide ribosomal RNA is filed under the name uncultured bacterium. RNAcentral describes it as "partial 16S ribosomal RNA". It matches the Rfam family "Bacterial small subunit ribosomal RNA", at positions 28 to 507 of the family's 1533-position model. The record is from RNAcentral.